RNAcentral lists this ribosomal RNA (1541 nucleotides) under Neisseria meningitidis. Its description in RNAcentral is "bacterial SSU rRNA". It matches the Rfam family "Bacterial small subunit ribosomal RNA". Lineage: Bacteria; Pseudomonadati; Pseudomonadota; Betaproteobacteria; Neisseriales; Neisseriaceae. The record is from RNAcentral.
GAACAUAAGAGUUUGAUCCUGGCUCAGAUUGAACGCUGGCGGCAUGCUUUACACAUGCAAGUCGGACGGCAGCACAGAGAAGCUUGCUUCUUGGGUGGCGAGUGGCGAACGGGUGAGUAACAUAUCGGAACGUACCGAGUAGUGGGGGAUAACUGAUCGAAAGAUCAGCUAAUACCGCAUACGUCUUGAGAGGGAAAGCAGGGGACCUUCGGGCCUUGCGCUAUUCGAGCGGCCGAUAUCUGAUUAGCUAGUUGGUGGGGUAAAGGCCUACCAAGGCGACGAUCAGUAGCGGGUCUGAGAGGAUGAUCCGCCACACUGGGACUGAGACACGGCCCAGACUCCUACGGGAGGCAGCAGUGGGGAAUUUUGGACAAUGGGCGCAAGCCUGAUCCAGCCAUGCCGCGUGUCUGAAGAAGGCCUUCGGGUUGUAAAGGACUUUUGUCAGGGAAGAAAAGGCUGUUGCUAAUAUCAGCGGCUGAUGACGGUACCUGAAGAAUAAGCACCGGCUAACUACGUGCCAGCAGCCGCGGUAAUACGUAGGGUGCGAGCGUUAAUCGGAAUUACUGGGCGUAAAGCGGGCGCAGACGGUUACUUAAGCAGGAUGUGAAAUCCCCGGGCUCAACCCGGGAACUGCGUUCUGAACUGGGUGACUCGAGUGUGUCAGAGGGAGGUAGAAUUCCACGUGUAGCAGUGAAAUGCGUAGAGAUGUGGAGGAAUACCGAUGGCGAAGGCAGCCUCCUGGGACAACACUGACGUUCAUGCCCGAAAGCGUGGGUAGCAAACAGGAUUAGAUACCCUGGUAGUCCACGCCCUAAACGAUGUCAAUUAGCUGUUGGGCAACUUGAUUGCUUAGUAGCGUAGCUAACGCGUGAAAUUGACCGCCUGGGGAGUACGGUCGCAAGAUUAAAACUCAAAGGAAUUGACGGGGACCCGCACAAGCGGUGGAUGAUGUGGAUUAAUUCGAUGCAACGCGAAGAACCUUACCUGGUCUUGACAUGUACGGAAUCCUCCAGAGACGGAGGAGUGCCUUCGGGAGCCGUAACACAGGUGCUGCAUGGCUGUCGUCAGCUCGUGUCGUGAGAUGUUGGGUUAAGUCCCGCAACGAGCGCAACCCUUGUCAUUAGUUGCCAUCAUUCAGUUGGGCACUCUAAUGAGACUGCCGGUGACAAGCCGGAGGAAGGUGGGGAUGACGUCAAGUCCUCAUGGCCCUUAUGACCAGGGCUUCACACGUCAUACAAUGGUCGGUACAGAGGGUAGCCAAGCCGCGAGGCGGAGCCAAUCUCACAAAACCGAUCGUAGUCCGGAUUGCACUCUGCAACUCGAGUGCAUGAAGUCGGAAUCGCUAGUAAUCGCAGGUCAGCAUACUGCGGUGAAUACGUUCCCGGGUCUUGUACACACCGCCCGUCACACCAUGGGAGUGGGGGAUACCAGAAGUAGGUAGGGUAACCGCAAGGAGUCCGCUUACCACGGUAUGCUUCAUGACUGGGGUGAAGUCGUAACAAGGUAGCCGUAGGGGAACCUGCGGCUGGAUCACCUCCUUU